This 1575-nucleotide long non-coding RNA is filed under the name Otus sunia (Oriental scops-owl). Its description in RNAcentral is "lncRNA (ENSOSUG00000015894.1)". Lineage: Eukaryota; Metazoa; Chordata; Aves; Strigiformes; Strigidae. The record is from RNAcentral.
AUGGGCACAGGGGGCUUCCUGGGUAGGUGGAGGGCUUCAGUGCCUGGAGCACCCGCUGUCCUACCCAAUGCAGGGAGGGGGCUCAGCAUCCCCAAUCCCCCCACCCUUCGGGAUCGCAGGGCAAACAGGACUCCCCAAGAGAAGCAGCCCAAUAGGGCUGGACCCCCCCUCCCUGCUCAAGGGGAGGCUGAGACCCCACAGUGUCUCUCCAUCACCCCCCACCCCAGCUCCAUCCCCACCCCAGCAGCCCGGGGAGGGUCUGUGUGUCCCCACCCCACUCAGGGGUCCCAGUCGGGGCCCCCCGGGGCUUGCACAACCCCCAGCCCCGCUGCCCCGGGGGGGCUGUGCCCCCUCCCCACUUCCCAGGGCAGCUCCCACCGCUGGGAGGGGAGCCCAUUGGGGGCUCAGCACCCCGAGAGGGGUUUGCAAGGACCCCCCCAAAGCAGUUACCCCUGGAAGGGUGGUUGGGCACCCCCAGGGAGGAUGCUUCCAGGGCAGGGGGGGUACAGGGGAUUCCCCCCCAAAACCGGGCACCCCCGGAGAGAGAGGGGUUGCCGAGGACACACCCAAGGAAAGGUCCGCUCAAGGGUGGGGGGUGGUGGUGGGGGUGUUACCAGACACCCCCGGCAAGAUGCGGUGGGGCGGGGGUGGGGGGUUGCUCUGCAGCCGCCGGCGGGGAGAGACGUGCCCGGGGGCUGGGUCCGUGCCGGUGCCCUGGUCUCUCCGGUCCCCCAGUGGCUCCCGGUGUCCCCCCCCUCGUCCCCGGGUGUCCCCCCCACCUCUCCUCGCCGCCUCUUACCUGCCCGGGGACGAGCUGCCGCCGCCGUGCGCCAACGCAGCCCGGGAGCGCCCGCCGGUUGUGCCCGCCGCAGCGCCGGGCUGCGGGGGGGGCACCGGCACCGGGGGGCACCGGUAGCAGCCCCCACCGGGAUCCUCCACCCGUUCCCGGGCCCCACGCACACACACACCCCCCCACCGCCCCUCCCCGGGACACUACCCCUGGUCCCCCCGCAGCUGGGAUCUGAGGCUCGGGGUGAGGGGGUGGGGGGGGUGGGGGGUGUCCCCUCUUGCACUGGCAAGGGCUGGGGCAGCUCUGGGAGCACUGGGAGGUCUUGGGGCACUGGGAGCACUGGGAUCACGCUGGGUGUCAGGAUGCCUGCAGAGCUGGGGGGGAAACGACGUGCCCCUGGUUGGGUCUUCAAGGGCUCUGUCCUAGAUGUCACUUGUCCCCUCUAUGGAGUGUCAUCCUGCCACGGGGUGGGUGGGAUGGGGAAGCCCAAGGGGGGUGUAAACACCCCCACACACAUCCCUGUGCCUGCACCGAGCUGGGGACCACGCUCUUCAUGUGCCACCCCUGCUGUCACACCUGCCUGUCCCCAUCCUGUCCCCUCGGAAAGACCCCAGGGCACGGGCCAGGGUGGUCCCUGCAGGGACACCAUGAGCCAGGGGCUGUGGGGACCCCCCUGUGCAUGCCUUGGGCACCCCCAGCUCCUGGGCUUAGCCCUCACCUUCCCACCGGCCCAAGAAAGUGCCAGGCCAGGCAUUUUGGGGCUAGAAGGGGACAUUUUGGGUUGA